RNAcentral lists this ribosomal RNA (656 nucleotides) under Erwinia sp. Esch5-288. RNAcentral's name for it is "bacterial SSU rRNA". It matches the Rfam family "Bacterial small subunit ribosomal RNA", at positions 812 to 1467 of the family's 1533-position model. Lineage: Bacteria; Pseudomonadati; Pseudomonadota; Gammaproteobacteria; Enterobacterales; Erwiniaceae. The record is from RNAcentral.
UCGACUUGGAGGUUGUGCCCUUGAGGCGUGGCUUCCGGAGCUAACGCGUUAAGUCGACCGCCUGGGGAGUACGGCCGCAAGGUUAAAACUCAAAUGAAUUGACGGGGGCCCGCACAAGCGGUGGAGCAUGUGGUUUAAUUCGAUGCAACGCGAAGAACCUUACCUGGCCUUGACAUCCACGGAAUUCGGCAGAGAUGCCUUAGUGCCUUCGGGAACCGUGAGACAGGUGCUGCAUGGCUGUCGUCAGCUCGUGUUGUGAAAUGUUGGGUUAAGUCCCGCAACGAGCGCAACCCUUAUCCUUUGUUGCCAGCGAGUAAUGUCGGGAACUCAAAGGAGACUGCCGGUGACAAACCGGAGGAAGGUGGGGAUGACGUCAAGUCAUCAUGGCCCUUACGGCCAGGGCUACACACGUGCUACAAUGGCGCAUACAAAGAGAAGCGAACUCGCGAGAGCAAGCGGACCUCACAAAGUGCGUCGUAGUCCGGAUCGGAGUCUGCAACUCGACUCCGUGAAGUCGGAAUCGCUAGUAAUCGUAGAUCAGAAUGCUACGGUGAAUACGUUCCCGGGCCUUGUACACACCGCCCGUCACACCAUGGGAGUGGGUUGCAAAAGAAGUAGGUAGCUUAACCUUCGGGAGGGCGCUUACCACUUUGUGA